UGCUGCUGGAGGUGUAAUGGACGUCAA
Molecule: non-coding RNA, 27 nt
Filed under: Cricetulus griseus (Chinese hamster)
Lineage: Eukaryota; Metazoa; Chordata; Mammalia; Rodentia; Cricetidae
Source: RNAcentral